AGGCGGCGGAGGUGGAGGAGGAGGAGGCGAUGGCGUCGCAAGGGACGAUGACGCCCCAAAGGGUCUUAGGUUAAUUCUUGUCGCCGCACCUUCUUCCAUGCCGUGGCCGCGUUACCUCGCCGUGAAAAACUCUGGGGAAAAGCUCGUGCCUCGACAAGACGGAGGCGGCGGAGGGGGAGGCGACCAAGUCAAGAUCGACAAGCUCCGCACCGCCGCCGGCGAGUUCGUCUCACAGAAGAGCAGCUCGGUGUUUGGCAAGAAGAAGGUCGAGCCCGUGGUCAAGGAUGCUGCAGUUCCAGGGGAGACGAGUUCGGUGACAGUCGAGUCUCUGUGAGGGGGGCCUCGCUUCUGAUCGGUACCAACUUUGAUGAGACAAGUGUAAAUCCUCUUAGGAGUUCAGAUCUCGACUCUGUUUGCAAAGAAGAAUGUCGGGGCCGUCUUGAUGGAUAAAGAAGCUCCAUGGAAGGCGAGUCCGGUGGCAAUCGAGUCUCAGUACAGCCGUACAGGGGAUCCUGAUUGUUUCUAACUUUGAUGAGACAAGUCUGCAGAGAACUUGGUGUUGUGAGGUCUUAUCGAUCGUAGAGUAGUUUUUUACCAUGUCAUCUUUUCCGUAGUUCUAGUGGGAAGAGUAGUUUGGACAUGGUUGGCUAAGUGAUACUACUACUAUGACCUCGACAUGUUUCUAGUUUCUACCUGAAAAAUAUGUGUGCCUCAAAUCUUCUUGGUAGGAGUAGCAUAUAUGAUUUGAUAUCUUCAGUGGAGCUGGUUAAAUUUGCGCCGCUACUAUUCUGUGCGUUCUUGUGUUGAGCAUGGGUGAUAUUCUCACUGGAUUCCUCUUGUUUUUCUGAAUGCAAA
Non-coding RNA from Oryza sativa Japonica Group (Japanese rice), 855 nucleotides. The record is from RefSeq and is a predicted model, not a curated record. NCBI's taxonomy places the organism in Eukaryota, Viridiplantae, Streptophyta, Magnoliopsida, Poales, Poaceae.